GGCCCAUUGGUCAAGUGGUUAAGACACCGCCCUUUCACGGCGGUAACAGGGGUUCGAAUCCCCUAUGGGUCAC
RNAcentral lists this transfer RNA (73 nucleotides) under Alkalibacillus haloalkaliphilus. Its description in RNAcentral is "tRNA-Glu". It matches the Rfam family "tRNA". From Rfam's summary of the family: Transfer RNA (tRNA) molecules are approximately 80 nucleotides in length. Their secondary structure includes four short double-helical elements and three loops (D, anti-codon, and T loops). Further hydrogen bonds mediate the characteristic L-shaped molecular structure. tRNAs have two regions of fundamental functional importance: the anti-codon, which is responsible for specific mRNA codon recognition, and the 3' end, to which the tRNAs corresponding amino acid is attached (by aminoacyl-tRNA synthetases). tRNAs cope with the degeneracy of the genetic code in two manners: having more than one tRNA (with a specific anti-codon) for a particular amino acid; and 'wobble' base-pairing, i.e. permitting non-standard base-pairing at the 3rd anti-codon position. The record is from RNAcentral. RNAcentral also lists the same sequence under 1 other name. Lineage: Bacteria; Bacillati; Bacillota; Bacilli; Caryophanales; Bacillaceae.